UAUAUAUAUAUAUAUAUAUAUAUAUAUAUAUAUAUAUAUAUAUAAAUGGCUGCUCUUAAUGCUAGUCAGGAUCUCUAGGUCACACUGAACAGCUGCGCUCACACCCGAAAGCCCAGCAGCAAUUCAUCAUAACCGUCAUACGAGCCAUCAUUAGCAAGUUCUCAUUUAUCAGUGCCACCUUGUCCUCUUUUUUUUUGUUUUAUCAGUCUUUUUUUCUCUCCUCUCGACUUGUCAGUAGUGGUUUUAAUCUGUACAAGAUGUAGUUGUUCAUAAGACACUGUUAUCAUGUACUAGCAUAAUUUCUUGUGCCAAAGAAACUUUGUAACCCGCUCUUCUAAACCAUUUAGGAUGAAGGAGUGUCUUGGGCUAUGGUUUUAAACGUAGCAAUUAGCAUCGGAAAUAACAGACUAGACUAAUUGUUUGUUUUUUAUGCCUGUGCUCUUUGCUAAUGCUUUUCCAUCUGCUUCUUCAGUAACUAGGCUAAACUGUAUUUUGUGCUAAGCACAAUCAGCUUCGACAGAGUAACUAGUACUGUGCACUCCCGUGUGAGAGAAAGAUUAUUUUGUUUUAAAAGCGAGAGAUAAUUAUAUUUAUUAAGGCCUUUUAGACACUGGAUUAAAGAUAUUUUAACGGGCCAGAGACAGAGUCCUCAUCAGGAUGCUUUGUGUAUUGUAUUUUACGUCACUGGAGCGUGUGAUGGAGAUGUAUGGGUGCUGCAAAGGGACAAAUCAAUCUAUUCUACAAGCUCAUACGAUCUCAACCAUCAUCCGUAGUCGGUUACAGACAGGCUUUUUGGACGACGACCGAUUCUGCGAUUUUUUUUAAUUUUAAUUUUUUAUUUUUUUUUUAUCCCUACAUAUUUUUCUCCAUUCCAUUGUUUGUAAAUGACUCAGAAGAAGGAGAAAAAGAAAGAAAAAAAAAUUCAAAUGGACACAAGCGCUCUUGGACGUUUGUUCUUCUUACUGAGAAAACAUGUUUGCUUUUGUUUAAUUCAUUGUUUUUAAUACUAGACUUUAUGAUGAUAUUCCAUUUCGUGGCACCUGAAUAAGAUUUUAUGCUGUCCUUCCUUCCUAUUAUGGAUGUGUUCGAUUUCCACUGGGCUUUGUGAUGUUGCCUUUUUUGUUUGUUUUUUUGUGAUUGCAAAAUGACAUACUGGGCUGGGCCUAAUCAUUCUAUGACUUUGUGUUUCAGAGAGUCUGUGUUUUUAUGUAUCUACAAAAUGUGCUCAAGUGUGUGUUUUGCCUCUUGUAAUGUUUUAACCUGUGGAACGUUUAAAAAAAAAAUGUUUUAAAAAAAAAAAAAUGGAAGAGAGUAAAUGAGACCAAAUAAAAUUUAACACAACUUUAAAAAAACAAACAACAAAAAAAAACACACCACUUUGCUGGACAGUAUUAACUGAGGCAUAAAAUUAAUUUGAAAUGUUUUUUUCAUGUUUUAUAGAGUGCUAAUUAAUGGUGGAGAGGAUUGUAUGCUUCACUGGGAUGUUAAUAGUUCCGUGUGGGUCAUUGUGUUAGCGGGGGAAAGUUUGGGCCGUGUCAGGAUUUCCUCACCCUAACACUCCCUUAUUUCCCUUUUAAAUGGAGUGUUUUAUACAUUUUGGCUCUUUUGCCUUGGCUUGGUGUGUUUGUUUGGUUUGUGUGCGGCCCAAUAAGACCGUUAACUUAAAAAGGAUUAAUUUUUAUACGCCGCAUGUUUAAAAAAUUUUAAAUUUAAAAAAUGUUGGCACCAUCACACCUAACAAUAGCACCACUUCCUAAUAACUCUGUUUAAAAAGGUUUAAUUUCCUUAACUUUGGUAGGUUUGCUCAUGCGGAUCGUCUCCUUCCAAUCAAUUUUUCAACAGGUUUACAGUCCAGAGAUUAGGAUAGCAAAACAUUGAUUUUCCAUCCUGCAACCAGUUCUGUUCAUUUGGAUUUAAGAUUUGAUGAAAGAUCCUAUGACCAGGUCUUAACCUCUUGUUCAUGGUUCUGUAUGUUAGGUCUAAACUGGAACCAUUCCAGAUGUUUCCAACUCAAAACUUUUGGCCCUACCGCCAAAAGCCUGUUUACCUGGAGCUAAUUCUGUGCCGUUUCAAUGCCUGAAAAAUGUGUGUUGGGGGUUUAAAGAUUAUUGCUGAAUUAAACAAACAAAAAAAAGUGAUCCAUUAAUAUUGCAACAAUGAAUCAAUG
Ictalurus punctatus (channel catfish) is the source of this 2167-nucleotide long non-coding RNA. NCBI's taxonomy places the organism in Eukaryota, Metazoa, Chordata, Actinopteri, Siluriformes, Ictaluridae. The record is from Ensembl.